Molecule: long non-coding RNA, 712 nt
Organism: Herpailurus yagouaroundi (jaguarundi)
Lineage: Eukaryota; Metazoa; Chordata; Mammalia; Carnivora; Felidae
Exons: 4
Source: RefSeq, a predicted model, not a curated record
UACUGGCACAAGGCUUGGUAUUUACUUUUACCAAAACGUAAAACUCCACAUGCAGAUUGAGACACCUGGCUCUGCAGCAUCCAGGCUCAUUUACAAUACAAUUGCGCCUUCUACCAAGGUUGGCAUUGCUGGUGCAGCAACAUUCGUGUUCAUUGUUUUGAUUUGUCAUAAUAUCUGGCUGAAGAAGAAUGAGGUAAGAGAAUGACAAUUGAAGCUUGAACCCACUGCUUUUGAAACACAGCUUUGAGAAGACGGCCUGGUCUCUGGCACAUGAAACUAGGCCUCUGAAGAGAAGUUUCAUCUAUGAAAAAUUCACCCAACACAUAAAAUAUAACCCAUAUUAUUUAAAUCUCCCUUAAUCAAGUAUAAUAAAUACUCUACAAAAUUAGAGCAUGAUGAAAUUCAAGGUUGAAAAGUAAUGCAUUUGGUCAUUUUUCAUUUUCUAUCCCAUUACGGUGACUAUUGUGGAUGGGAGAAUAUUAAUUCCUCAGAAGCCAACAGUCCAUUCAGUCCAAGAGACAACUUGGUGUUUGCUGCUAUAUGAUCAUGAACAGAAGGAUCCGCUUUCUGCUUGGAUGUUGGUGGGGCAUGUAAUCCUGGUCACGGCUACAAUAGCUUUUACUUUUCAACCCCUCACUGUUUGUAGAAGAUGGGAUUUAGUAUUUUGUUGGGGUAUCAGAGGGAACAUAAACUUUGAACUUUUAAAAAGUGC